Molecule: long non-coding RNA, 178 nt
Organism: Trichomycterus rosablanca
Lineage: Eukaryota; Metazoa; Chordata; Actinopteri; Siluriformes; Trichomycteridae
Exons: 3
Source: RefSeq, a predicted model, not a curated record
AACACAUGUGCUAAUCUGUGACCCUCCACAGCCAUUAAGGACUACAUUGGGAGGAGAGCCUGCUUUCACCCUGUUCUUCAAUGGUCAGAACCCCCAGAGGACCACCACAAAGCAGGAACCCAAUCACUUCACCACAACUCUGAGGUGAUGAAUGUGUAAUUACCAAGUUUGACAGACC